GAACUAUAGAGUUUGAUCCUGGCUCAGAUUGAACGCUGGCGGCAUGCCUUACACAUGCAAGUCGAACGGUAACGCGGGGCAACCUGGCGACGAGUGGCGAACGGGUGAGUAAUGCAUCGGAA
RNAcentral lists this ribosomal RNA (122 nucleotides) under Burkholderiales bacterium. RNAcentral describes it as "partial 16S ribosomal RNA". It matches the Rfam family "Bacterial small subunit ribosomal RNA", at positions 1 to 123 of the family's 1533-position model. The record is from RNAcentral. Lineage: Bacteria; Pseudomonadati; Pseudomonadota; Betaproteobacteria; Burkholderiales.